GGGGGUGGGGAGGGCCGGGCGGUGCGGCCCGGGCUGCGGGCAGCGCAACUUCCGCGGGCGGCGGGGGCGGGAGGCGCUGCCCGGCCGCGGCCUCCGCGCAGCGCGGAGCUUCACCCACCUCAAACCCCCUCUUCGUGCGCUCUUUUAAGCUCGGCGGGCCCGGGCAGGAUGUUUAUACUGCGCAAUGUAAACACGGGCUCGGGGGUGCUUUAAUAAAAAGAAAUCGGCGAAAACUCCCGCUGCCGCUCGAAAUGCCCUUUUCUGCCUGCGCCGCCGCGCCGGGGAUGAGAGCAGGCGUCGGACCCCUCGCCUGCUCCGAGGCUGCUCUAGGGAUGAGGGACAUUUAUUUCAUCCAAUAAGACUAUCCAUCACAGCACACUGGAACCGACCUACGAUCUGAGGAUAUUCUUAGAUAUGCAGCAUGUCAGGAAACGGCUAGCAGCCCUGCAUGAUGCAAAUAUUUGGACGACUGAGAGGUUUCUGGCCAGCAGCACCAAUGACUGUCAUGGCCAAGCCACUAAUUCGGAGAUGUCAAUGGACAGGGGCUUUAAUCAUGCGUGAGCUGUGUGCGUGCAGGAGGGAGGACGUCCACGCUGCAGGACUGAGCUGUGGGUUGGAGGCAGGACAACCCUCAUCUCAAGGGUGAGUGCUUAAGGAGUGUAGGCAAGGCCAGCUUUUGGAGCAAGUAACUGAGGUGACCCUCUCCAGCCCCGGGCAAUCGAGAUAGACUGCCAUGCAAAUCAGGCUGCGUGCGCACAAAAUAUCCCAAACCUCACCUUUAGUGAGGUUUUCCCCUCUUCUUCUCUAGGGUGUACUGAUUGCUGGGUCAUCUCUAGGGCUUUGCUGUUGUAGAAACCCCCAGUAUCACUGUACUAGAGAGACUCACAUUUUCCACUUCUCUGAAUUUGCCACCAGACCAAGAUUUCCUCAUCCCAGGCGUCCCAGCGAGGAGCAGCAGGUCCUAGCAAGGUACUUUAUGGUUAUGGAGCAUCAUGUGCAAGAUCAGCCAGGCCAGUUUUAGUAAGACCAAUGGUUCUACAACGCCAUGGGGUGGGCUGCCUGUGCACCCAUGUGGAGGUGUGAGCCUCCCACACACCCUCCCACCCCAGGGUGAAGGUACCUGCACCAUCCCCUCAUUUGCCUGGGGAUUCUGCCCCUAAACGCAGCCCCAUCAUGCACAGGGAUGUGGCAGCACAAACCCCAUCCUGGCUACCAGGCCAAUGGCCACCCAACCCCACCAGCUUCUCUGGAUGGACCAGGAGACAUGGACCUGCUCCAUCUCAGGAACCACCGUAGAACAGGUUUCUCACUAGGCUAAUUACUGCUAAUUGUGCCACUUUGCUAUCUCACCAGCCUUGCCCUGAACAGGGCUGAUAGGGUAUCAGUGAGAUAAAGAGCACUCAGCACAGGUAACUGGUGAAUGUGGGACCUGCGGUGGGGUGAGCUGCCUUCUGGAGGGGUUAUCUCCUGCUGAGAGCCUGAGGCACCGGCCUCCUGAAGGGGGACACGGUGGUCCUAAGGGUAAGCGGAGGGAAGCUGCCAUCGGCACACUCCUCAAAGCUUUUUAGGAGGUGCUAUAAGGGAUUUUGGUGACUCAGAAUUUGCAAACACUGGGAAAGCAAGCUGGCAUUCAUUUUAUAGUAAUUCUUUUAAAUUUACUUAACAUGCAGUUUGUUCUUUUGAGUGGUUUUUGCUGUUGUUAAUUUAACACUCUAGAAAUGAAGGUUUCAUCAUUUCUCCUCCCCCUCCCUUCCUUUUUCUUUUUCCCCACAAAAAAAAUAAAUUAUGUUUUUUUCACAAACACAGUAUCUCUCAGAUCUUUUGUUAUCUUUUACCACCUCUGCUGACCUACGCGAAGUAAUUCAGCUCCUACACCGGCCUCAGAACCAGGUAGGAAUCGUUAACACCUGCUUACCAAAGAAACUUGGACAAGGUAUUGUUGUUGUUCUGCAACAUUUUUCAAAGAUCAUUUGCAAUAGAAGACCAGAAAAUUUUGCAGCCAACUCAGAGACAAGUCUUGUGUGUAGAUGUAGUUUCUGGCUGUGUGUGUAAUCACACAUUACACUUGGCAGGUAAAACACACCGGUACACAGUGCCUGGCCGUAUCAGUACCUACAUUUUGUCUCACAUUCCGUAUCUUGUAAAAAUGAAUAGAGCACCACUACUUCAUCUGAUGGAUGAGUCAACAGAGCUUGUUCAUGACUAUCAAAGUCAAUGGCAGGACAACUCACACACUGCAGAAAUCUGCUGGGUCCUCUAAUCCAAAGCUUGGGAUAUUUUCCAUACCAAGUAUCUACAUAUACGAGCAAUGUAGGAGAGAGAGAUAGGCAGGCAGGCAGACAGAACAUUUUCCUCAAGGUACCUCAAUCAUCUGCUUUUCCUUUUACCCUGCAAGUCCGGUCCGCUUUCAGUUUGGUUUAAGUUACCAAAAUUUCUCAGCUU
This is a long non-coding RNA of Falco peregrinus (peregrine falcon), 2442 nucleotides long. RefSeq lists it as uncharacterized. Lineage: Eukaryota; Metazoa; Chordata; Aves; Falconiformes; Falconidae. The record is from RefSeq and is a predicted model, not a curated record. The transcript has 3 exons.